CCUACGGGGGGCAGCAGUGGGGAAUAUUGCACAAUGGGGGAAACCCUGAUGCAGCGACGCCGCGUGAGCGAUGAAGUAUUUCGGUAUGUAAAGCUCUAUCAGCAGGGAAGAAAAUGACGGUACCUGACUAAGAAGCCCCGGCUAACUACGUGCCAGCAGCCGCGGUAAUACGUAGGGGGCAAGCGUUAUCCGGAUUUACUGGGUGUAAAGGGAGCGUAGACGGCUUGGCAAGCCAGCUGUGAAAGGCGGGGGCUCAACCCCAGGACUGCAUUUGAAACUGUCAUGCUAGAGUGUAGGAGAGGCAGGCGGAAUUCCUAGUGUAGCGGUGAAAUGCGUAGAUAUUAGGAGGAACACCAGUGGCGAAGGCGGCCUGCUGGACGAUGACUGACGUUGAGGCUCGAAAGCGUGGGGAGCAAACAGGAUUAGAUACCCGUGUAGUC
Molecule: ribosomal RNA, 440 nt
Filed under: uncultured bacterium
Lineage: Bacteria
Description: partial 16S ribosomal RNA
Rfam family: Bacterial small subunit ribosomal RNA
Source: RNAcentral